GCUGGCGUGGUCUAAUGGUUAUGAUUUCUCGUUCACAAUCUGUUACAUGUGAAUAUUCCUCGCAGAAUUCCCGAGAAGGUUCCGUGUUCGAUCCACGGCGCUAGUA
This is a non-coding RNA of Microdochium trichocladiopsis, 106 nucleotides long. The record is from the annotation of a RefSeq genome assembly. Lineage: Eukaryota; Fungi; Ascomycota; Sordariomycetes; Xylariales; Microdochiaceae.